AGUGAACGCUGGCGGUAGGCCUAACACAUGCAAGUCGAACGGCAGCACAGUAAGAGCUUGCUCUUACGGGUGGCGAGUGGCGGACGGGUGAGGAAUACAUCGGAAUCUACUUUUUCGUGGGGGAUAACGUAGGGAAACUUACGCUAAUACCGCAUACGACCUACGGGUGAAAGCAGGGGAUCUUCGGACCUUGCGCGAUUGAAUGAGCCAAUGUCGGAUUAGCUAGUUGGCGGGGUAAAGGCCCACCAAGGCGACGAUCCGUAGCUGGUCUGAGAGGAUGAUCAGCCACACUGGAACUGAGACACGGUCUAGACUCCUACGGGAGGCAGCAGUGGGGAAUAUUGGACAAUGGGCGCAAGCCUGAUCCAGCCAUACCGCGUGGGUGAAGAAGGCCUUCGGGUUGUAAAGCCCUUUUGUUGGGAAAGAAAAGCAGCAGGUUAAUACCCCGCUGUUCUGACGGUACCCAAAGAAUAAGCACCGGCUAACUUCGU
Molecule: ribosomal RNA, 491 nt
Filed under: uncultured bacterium
Lineage: Bacteria
Description: partial 16S ribosomal RNA
Rfam family: Bacterial small subunit ribosomal RNA
Source: RNAcentral